RNAcentral lists this ribosomal RNA (2672 nucleotides) under Klebsiella pneumoniae. Its description in RNAcentral is "partial 23S ribosomal RNA". It matches the Rfam family "Bacterial large subunit ribosomal RNA". Lineage: Bacteria; Pseudomonadati; Pseudomonadota; Gammaproteobacteria; Enterobacterales; Enterobacteriaceae. The record is from RNAcentral.
CACUAUCGUUAACUGAAUACAUAGGUUAACGAGGCGAACCGGGGGAACUGAAACAUCUAAGUACCCCGAGGAAAAGAAAUCAACCGAGAUUCCCCCAGUAGCGGCGAGCGAACGGGGAGCAGCCCAGAGUCUGAAUCAGCUUGUGUGUUAGUGGAACGGUCUGGAAAGUCCGACGGUACAGGGUGAUAGUCCCGUACACCAAAAUGCACAGGCUGUGAACUCGAAGAGUAGGGCGGGACACGUGGUAUCCUGUCUGAAUAUGGGGGGACCAUCCUCCAAGGCUAAAUACUCCUGACUGACCGAUAGUGAACCAGUACCGUGAGGGAAAGGCGAAAAGAACCCCGGCGAGGGGAGUGAAAAAGAACCUGAAACCGUGUACGUACAAGCAGUGGGAGCACCUUCGGGUGUGACUGCGUACCUUUUGUAUAAUGGGUCAGCGACUUAUAUUCUGUAGCAAGGUUAACCGUAUAGGGGAGCCGCAGGGAAACCGAGUCUUAACUGGGCGUUAAGUUGCAGGGUAUAGACCCGAAACCCGGUGAUCUAGCCAUGGGCAGGUUGAAGGUUGGGUAACACUAACUGGAGGACCGAACCGACUAAUGUUGAAAAAUUAGCGGAUGACUUGUGGCUGGGGGUGAAAGGCCAAUCAAACCGGGAGAUAGCUGGUUCUCCCCGAAAGCUAUUUAGGUAGCGCCUCGUGAACUCAUCUUCGGGGGUAGAGCACUGUUUCGGCUAGGGGGUCAUCCCGACUUACCAACCCGAUGCAAACUACGAAUACCGAAGAAUGUUAUCACGGGAGACACACGGCGGGUGCUAACGUCCGUCGUGAAGAGGGAAACAACCCAGACCGCCAGCUAAGGUCCCAAAGUCAUGGUUAAGUGGGAAACGAUGUGGGAAGGCACAGACAGCCAGGAUGUUGGCUUAGAAGCAGCCAUCAUUUAAAGAAAGCGUAAUAGCUCACUGGUCGAGUCGGCCUGCGCGGAAGAUGUAACGGGGCUAAACCAUGCACCGAAGCUGCGGCAGCGACACUAUGUGUUGUUGGGUAGGGGAGCGUUCUGUAAGCCUGCGAAGGUGUGCUGUGAGGCAUGCUGGAGGUAUCAGAAGUGCGAAUGCUGACAUAAGUAACGAUAAAGCGGGUGAAAAGCCCGCUCGCCGGAAGACCAAGGGUUCCUGUCCAACGUUAAUCGGGGCAGGGUGAGUCGACCCCUAAGGCGAGGCCGAAAGGCGUAGUCGAUGGGAAACAGGUUAAUAUUCCUGUACUUGGUGUUACUGCGAAGGGGGGACGGAGAAGGCUAUGUUAGCCGGGCGACGGUUGUCCCGGUUUAAGCAUGUAGGCUGGUUAUCCAGGCAAAUCCGGAUAAUCAAGGCUGAGGUGUGAUGACGAGGCACUACGGUGCUGAAGUAACAAAUGCCCUGCUUCCAGGAAAAGCCUCUAAGCAUCAGGUAACAUCAAAUCGUACCCCAAACCGACACAGGUGGUCAGGUAGAGAAUACCAAGGCGCUUGAGAGAACUCGGGUGAAGGAACUAGGCAAAAUGGUGCCGUAACUUCGGGAGAAGGCACGCUGGUGUGUAGGUGAAGUCCCUGCGGAUGGAGCUGAGACCAGUCGAAGAUACCAGCUGGCUGCAACUGUUUAUUAAAAACACAGCACUGUGCAAACACGAAAGUGGACGUAUACGGUGUGACGCCUGCCCGGUGCCGGAAGGUUAAUUGAUGGGGUUAUCCGUAAGGAGAAGCUCUUGAUCGAAGCCCCGGUAAACGGCGGCCGUAACUAUAACGGUCCUAAGGUAGCGAAAUUCCUUGUCGGGUAAGUUCCGACCUGCACGAAUGGCGUAAUGAUGGCCAGGCUGUCUCCACCCGAGACUCAGUGAAAUUGAACUCGCUGUGAAGAUGCAGUGUACCCGCGGCAAGACGGAAAGACCCCGUGAACCUUUACUAUAGCUUGACACUGAACAUUGAGCCUUGAUGUGUAGGAUAGGUGGGAGGCUUUGAAGCGUGGACGCCAGUCUGCGUGGAGCCAACCUUGAAAUACCACCCUUUAAUGUUUGAUGUUCUAACGUUGGCCCCUGACCGGGGUUGCGGACAGUGUCUGGUGGGUAGUUUGACUGGGGCGGUCUCCUCCCAAAGCGUAACGGAGGAGCACGAAGGUUAGCUAAUCCUGGUCGGACAUCAGGAGGUUAGUGCAAUGGCAUAAGCUAGCUUGACUGCGAGCGUGACGGCGCGAGCAGGUGCGAAAGCAGGUCAUAGUGAUCCGGUGGUUCUGAAUGGAAGGGCCAUCGCUCAACGGAUAAAAGGUACUCCGGGGAUAACAGGCUGAUACCGCCCAAGAGUUCAUAUCGACGGCGGUGUUUGGCACCUCGAUGUCGGCUCAUCACAUCCUGGGGCUGAAGUAGGUCCCAAGGGUAUGGCUGUUCGCCAUUUAAAGUGGUACGCGAGCUGGGUUUAGAACGUCGUGAGACAGUUCGGUCCCUAUCUGCCGUGGGCGCUGGAGAAUUGAGGGGGGCUGCUCCUAGUACGAGAGGACCGGAGUGGACGCAUCACUGGUGUUCGGGUUGUCAUGCCAAUGGCACUGCCCGGUAGCUAAAUGCGGAAGAGAUAAGUGCUGAAAGCAUCUAAGCACGAAACUUGCCCCGAGAUGAGUUCUCCCUGAGACUUUAAGUCUCCUGAAGGAACGUU